Long non-coding RNA from Ciona intestinalis (vase tunicate), 1487 nucleotides. RefSeq lists it as uncharacterized. Lineage: Eukaryota; Metazoa; Chordata; Ascidiacea; Phlebobranchia; Cionidae. The record is from RefSeq and is a predicted model, not a curated record.
AAGAUUGGGGCAAGAUGGUCCAUGUUUUCAUUCUUUAUAUCGUAGCCUACCAUUUGGUGGUAAACAAAGGAAUAUUGACAGAAGUAUAUAACCUUGUAUUCACAACUUUAAAAGGGCGAUGUUUAUUGCUAAAAGCACUACCAGGAAACAUGUGAUAUUAUGUGCUAAAACGGAUUCCACCAAACAGUAUUCGGCAUUAGCGCACAAACAAUAGUUUACAAAAACCAGAAAUUCCUUAUUCUCAUAAUUCGUGCAGCUGCAUGGUUAGGGGAGGAAGCGUCAACAGUUUCCGAAGCGUGAGAAAUAUGUUCUACCACGAAGCUUCUACAUCCUUAACUGCACAACCAAUAACAAUGUUGGAACUGUUUGGAUAUAACAGACAACUUAUUGGGCGUUUUGAGUGGUUCAGUUAGAUUUCCGUAGGCUACGCGGCUAUUUAGUGAAUUUAUAAAAGCUAAACAGUAAUUAAACGCACAUGGAGUGGAUUUUUUGCGGAUUAUUUUACAAGUUACAAAUUCAUCACUAGAGCUCGCAUUUUGCAUUUGUUUUUCGCCCGCUGCUUAUUUAGUUUAUUUAUAAAGGUAAACCAGUAUAUAGAACUCGCUCUGUAACGCGCACCGCCUAUAAAUAUGAGCGCGUUAUAGACUAGCAUUCGCCCGCAGCUGCGCCCUUGCCUAUAGUUUUGCGUAUUGGUUCAAAGCUCUUCAAAGGAUAGUAUGUGCUGUUUUAAAAAGAAGAAACGGUUUGUAUCGAAAAGUUAAGCAUUUGCUUGUUAUUCUGAAAAUAUAAGCGACACAUAGCUACAAGGAAGUUAUGUGCUUGAAACUAUAGCUUUACAGAGCAACGAGUGCGAAUAGCCUACACGUGAUGAUACGCGAACACAAAAUGGUAACAACAAUGCUGUGGACGAUUUUAAACAACUGCCAUUUUAAAUAAUUUUUUAUUUUUUCCACAGAAACGUAUAAUACGGCCACAAAAUUGUUAAAUGAACUUUCUAACCACGCAUUUUACAUACACAGCAGUGCAAUAGGCUUGUGUAGAACAUGGGAGAAUACGCAAACCCACUUUUUGGAUGUUUUGAAGAUCCAGCUCUGUGUAUUAUUACAUUCAUUAUCCCAUGCUAUACUGCAGGGAAAACUGCGGAGUCUUUAGGGGAAAGUUGCCUCCUUUACGGGAUAUUGUAUUUGUUCACAGAAUGCAUUGCCGGCUGUAUCAUAAGGGGGAAAGUUCGGGAAAUAAAGAAUAUCGAUGGGACAAUGUUCAAAGACUUCGUGCUAAGUCUGUUCUGCCCAUGGUGUGCUCUUAUACAGGACCAUAGAGAAGUGGAUAACACAAAAUAUGACCAGUCGAUCGCCAGAGUGUAGAUUUAUCAUUGUGGAAGUCUGACCUUGAACCUUGUAUGCGGAACAUUGUUUUCUGUGCUGGGACUGCAACUAAUUGUAGAGAUUUUGUGAUACGAGAAUAAUAAAAGAUCAUCAUGUUGUUGA